ACGCUCGACACCUACGGGAGACAGCAGUGGGGAAUAUUGCACAAUGGGGGAAACCCUGAUGCAGCGACGCCGCGUGAGCGAAGAAGUAUUUCGGUAUGUAAAGCUCUAUCAGCAGGGAAGAAACUGACGGUACCUGACUAAGAAGCACCGGCUAAAUACGUGCAAGCAGCCGCGGUAAUCUGAGCGGGCUGGCAAGGC
RNAcentral lists this ribosomal RNA (198 nucleotides) under uncultured bacterium. Its description in RNAcentral is "partial 16S ribosomal RNA". It matches the Rfam family "Bacterial small subunit ribosomal RNA", at positions 328 to 539 of the family's 1533-position model. The record is from RNAcentral.